RNAcentral lists this ribosomal RNA (406 nucleotides) under uncultured bacterium. RNAcentral's name for it is "partial 16S ribosomal RNA". It matches the Rfam family "Bacterial small subunit ribosomal RNA", at positions 30 to 526 of the family's 1533-position model. The record is from RNAcentral.
AUUGAACGCUGGCGGCAGGCUUAACACAUGCAAGUCGAGCGAGCGGCGGACGGGUGAGUAAUGUCUGGGAAACUGCCUGAUGGAGGGGGAUAACUACUGGAAACGGUAGCUAAUACCGCAUACCAUCAGAUGUGCCCAGAUGGGAUUAGCGAGUAGGUGGGGUAAUGGCUCACCUAGGCGACGAUCCCUAGCUGGUCUGAGAGGAUGACCAGCCACACGUGAACUGAGACUCGGCCCAGACUCCUAAGGGAGGCAGCAGUGGGGAAGAUUGCACAAUGGGCGCAAGUCUGAUGGAGCAAUGCCGCGUGUGUGAAGAAGGACUUCGGGUUGUAAAGCACUUUCAGUUGGGAGGCGUUACCGGCAGAGGAAGCACCGGCUAACUCCGUGCCAGCCGCCGCGGUAAUAC